Molecule: ribosomal RNA, 482 nt
Filed under: uncultured bacterium
Lineage: Bacteria
Description: partial 16S ribosomal RNA
Rfam family: Bacterial small subunit ribosomal RNA
Source: RNAcentral
AUUGAACGCUGGCGGCAUGCCUUACACAUGCAAGUCGAACGGUAACGGGCCUUCGGGUGCCGACGAGCGGCGGACGGGCGAGUAAUACAUCGGAACGUGCCCGAUCGUGGGGGAUAACGAGGCGAAAGCUUUGCUAAUACCGCAUACGAUCUACGGAUGAAAGCCGGGGACCGCAAGGCCUUGCGCGGGCGGAGCGGCCGAUGGCAGAUGAGGUAGUUGGUGGGAUAAAAGCUUACCAAGCCGACGAUCUGUAGCUGGUCUGAGAGGAUGAUCAGCCACACUGGGACUGAGACACGGCCCAGACUCCUACGGGAGGCAGCAGUGGGGAAUUUUGGACAAUGGGCGCAAGCCUGAUCCAGCCAUGCCGCGUGCAGGAUGAAGGCCUUCGGGUUGUAAACUGCUUUUGUACGGAACGAAAAGCCUUCUUUUAAUACAGGAGGGUCAUGACGGUACCGUAAGAAUAAGUACCGGCUAACUACGUG